AGCGAACGCUGGUGGCAGGCCUAACACAUGCAAGUCGAACGAAGUCUUCGGACUUAGUGGCGGACGGGUGAGUAACACGUGGGAACGUACCUUUUGGUUCGGAACAACUCAGGGAAACUUGAGCUAAUACCGGAUGAGCCCUUAGGGGGAAAGAUUUAUCGCCGAAAGAGCGGCCCGCGUUAGAUUAGCUAGUUGGUGAGGUAAAGGCUCACCAAGGCUACGAUCUAUAGCUGGUCUGAGAGGAUGAUCAGCCACACUGGGACUGAGACACGGCCCAGACUCCUACGGGAGGCAGCAGUGGGGAAUCUUGCGCAAUGGGCGAAAGCCUGACGCAGCCAUGCCGCGUGAAUGAUGAAGGUCUUAGGAUUGUAAAAUUCUUUUACCAGGGACGAUAGUGACGGUACCCGGAGAAGAAGCCCCGGCUAACUUCGUGCCAGCAGCCGCCGUAA
This 449-nucleotide ribosomal RNA is filed under the name uncultured bacterium. RNAcentral's name for it is "partial 16S ribosomal RNA". It matches the Rfam family "Bacterial small subunit ribosomal RNA", at positions 29 to 523 of the family's 1533-position model. The record is from RNAcentral.